Molecule: ribosomal RNA, 422 nt
Filed under: uncultured bacterium
Lineage: Bacteria
Description: partial 16S ribosomal RNA
Rfam family: Bacterial small subunit ribosomal RNA
Source: RNAcentral
AAUUAUUGACAAUGGGCGAAAGCCUGAUCGAGCCAUCCCGGCUGUGUGAAGAAGGUCUUCGGAUUGGGAAGCACUUUAAGUUGGGAGGGAAGGCAGUAAGUUAAUACCUCGCAGUCUUGACGUAACCGAUAGAAUAAACACUGGCUAAUUCGGUGCCAGCAGCCGCGGUAAUACGAAGGGUGCAAGCGUUAACCGGAAUUACUGGGUGUAAAGCGAGCGUAGGUGGUUUGUUAAGUUGGAAGUGAAAGCCCGGGGCUCAACCUGGGAACUGCUUUCAAAACUGGAUAGCUAGAGUAUGGGAGAGGUAGGUGGAAUUUCCUGUGUAGCGGUGAAAUGCGUAGAUAUAAGAAGGAACACCAGUGGCGAAGGCGGCCUCCUGGACGAUUACUGACGCUGAGGUGCGAAAGCGUGGGGAGCAAACA